GGUAUGUUCACAGGGUUGGAGUUGUAAACUCGGUAAUGAUUCUCUCGUGAGUGUGGCCUGCGGAGGGAUCAUUACCGAGUUUACAACUCCCAAACCCCUGUGAACAUACCAAUUGUUGCCUCGGCGGAUCAGCCCGCUCCCGGUAAAACGGGACGGCCCGCCAGAGGACCCCUAAACUCUGUUUCUAUAUGUAACUUCUGAGUAAAACCAUAAAUAAAUCAAAACUUUCAACAACGGAUCUCUUGGUUCUGGCAUCGAUGAAGAACGCAGCAAAAUGCGAUAAGUAAUGUGAAUUGCAGAAUUCAGUGAAUCAUCGAAUCUUUGAACGCACAUUGCGCCCGCCAGUAUUCUGGCGGGCAUGCCUGUUCGAGCGUCAUUUCAACCCUCAAGCCCAGCUUGGUGUUGGGACUCGCGAGUCAAAUCGCGUUCCCCAAAUUGAUUGGCGGUCACGUCGAGCUUCCAUAGCGUAGUAGUAAAACCCUCGUUACUGGUAAUCGUCGCGGCCACGCCGUUAAACCCCAACUUCUGAAUGUUGACCUCGGAUCAGGUAGAUCCG
RNAcentral lists this ribosomal RNA (556 nucleotides) under Fusarium pseudonygamai. RNAcentral describes it as "eukaryotic LSU rRNA". The stretch from base 223 to 376 matches the Rfam family "5.8S ribosomal RNA". The record is from RNAcentral. Lineage: Eukaryota; Fungi; Ascomycota; Sordariomycetes; Hypocreales; Nectriaceae.